AGUGAACGCUGGCGGUAGGCCUAACACAUGCAAGUCGAACGGCAGCACAGUAACCUCUUGCUCUUACGUGUGGCGGUUGCCGGCCGGUUAGUGACUCCUGCGUAAUCUACUUCUUCGUGGUGGAUAACGUCGUGAAACUGUCGCUAAUACGGCAUACUACCUAUGUGUGACAUCAUGGGACUUUCAGACGUUUCGCGUCUGAGUGAGCUGAUCUCGGGUUAGCUAGUUGGCGGGGUAAAGGCCUACCAAGGCGACGAGCCGUAGCUGGUCUGAGAGGAUGGUCGGCCACACUGGAACUGAGACACGGUCCAGACGCCUACGGGAGGCAGCAGUGGGGAAUAUUAGAGAAUGGGCGCAGGACGGAUGCAGCCAUGCCGCGUGGGUGAAGAAGGACUUCGGGUUGUAGAGCACUUUUGUUGGGAAAGAAAAGCAGCAGGUUAAUACCCCGGUGUUCUGACGGUACCCAAAUAAUAAGCACCGGCUAACUUCGUG
This 492-nucleotide ribosomal RNA is filed under the name uncultured bacterium. Its description in RNAcentral is "partial 16S ribosomal RNA". It matches the Rfam family "Bacterial small subunit ribosomal RNA", at positions 29 to 507 of the family's 1533-position model. The record is from RNAcentral.